Molecule: ribosomal RNA, 327 nt
Filed under: Klebsiella pneumoniae
Lineage: Bacteria; Pseudomonadati; Pseudomonadota; Gammaproteobacteria; Enterobacterales; Enterobacteriaceae
Description: bacterial SSU rRNA
Rfam family: Bacterial small subunit ribosomal RNA
Source: RNAcentral
AAAUGCGUAGAGAUCUGGAGGAAUACCGGUGGCGAAGGCGGCCCCCUGGACAAAGACUGACGCUCAGGUGCGAAAGCGUGGGGAGCAAACAGGAUUAGAUACCCUGGUAGUCCACGCCGUAAACGAUGUCGAUUUGGAGGUUGUGCCCUUGAGGCGUGGCUUCCGGAGCUAACGCGUUAAAUCGACCGCCUGGGGAGUACGGCCGCAAGGUUAAAACUCAAAUGAAUUGACGGGGGCCCGCACAAGCGGUGGAGCAUGUGGUUUAAUUCGAUGCAACGCGAAGAACCUUACCUGGUCUUGACAUCCACAGAACUUUCCAGAGAUGGA